GAGCCCCCCAUCCUGCCGCGUUUCCGGUUUGAGCUCUUUUGGCUCAACCAGGCCGGAUUUCAGGAGGUGGUCGUGGCUAGGUGGAUCUUCGCGCGCACUACCCCCCACCGCUCCAUGUCCGCCGUUGACUCGUGGCAGUUCUGUGCCAAGCUCGCCCGCCAAUUCAUGAAGGGGUGGGGCACUAACCUUGGCUGGGACCUCCACGAAUGCAAGAGGGCCCUCCUGUCGGCUAUCCAAGCCUUGGACGCCCGCGCUGACACUUCUGGGAUCUCCCCGGAUGAGUGGAUGCUGAGAUAUGAUCUCGAGGAUCAGCUCUCGACCAUCUACAUGGAUGAAGAGGCAUACUGGAGGCUACGCGGCACCCAACAAUGGGUGCUCCGUGGGGACGCCAAUACGGCCUACUUCUAGGCGAUUGCUAAUGGGCGGCGGCGUCAAAAUUCCAUCCAUUGUUUGUGGGAUGGAGAUACCCCUCUCAUCCUCCCCUCGGACAUCCGUGUCCACGUCGAUGGCUUCUAUAAAGCCCUAUUUUCCCCCACCCCUCAGGGUGGGGCUACACUGGCCCCUGACACUUGGUCGACUAACCAGUUGACAUCUGCCGAGGCAAAUGCUGCUUUGGUUGCGCCCUUCUCUGAGGACGAGGUCCUCGCCGCCAUUAAGGGUAUGAACCCCUCCUCGGACUCGGGUCCGGAUGGACUGCCAGUGACGUUUUUCAAAACGCUCUGGCAGACCAUCAAACCAGAAGUCAUGGCCCUUUUCGAGGAGUUCUAAUCGGGGAUCAUGGACCUUGGGCGCCUAAACUAUGGGGUCAUCACCCUCAUCCCCAAAGUUCCGGGUGCUUCUGACAUCCGCCAGUUUAGGCCUAUCACCGUGAUCAAUGUGAUAUUCCGGAUCCUUGCCAAAGGGUAUGCCAAUAGGGUG
RNAcentral lists this ribosomal RNA (918 nucleotides) under Triticum aestivum (bread wheat). Its description in RNAcentral is "partial small subunit ribosomal RNA". The record is from RNAcentral. Lineage: Eukaryota; Viridiplantae; Streptophyta; Magnoliopsida; Poales; Poaceae.